AAAGUAUUACAGGACAUUGGUGAGAAGGUAGAAAUACAUGGUCAGCAUUGUUGAGGAGGAGAGCAAGAUGCCAAGCUCAGAAACCAGUUCAUAUCUACCAUGGUCCAUCUUUAAUUUGCUGUUUUGUUGUUUUCCUCUUGGAAUAGCGGCGAUCAUUUACUCCUGCCAGGUUAAGAAUGCCACUGAUCUGGGAAAUAUUGAAAGGGCCAAGAGUGCAUCUUCAAUUGCCAAAAAAUUGAACAUAGCAGCGACUGUAAUUGGAAUCAUUCUAAUAAUAUUAAUUGUUGUUAUUUAUUUUAUGACACAGAUAGUUCAAUGAUUUGCAGAUUAGCCAGGGAGGGAACAAUAUUAUUUACAAAGGAAUAUCUGGAAGAGCAACAACCAUUUCAUUUCUUACUCGCACCAAAUAAUAUUAUGCUUUGGAAUGUAUUAUACCACAAACUUCUGAUGUUUUAAAUUUGCCUGUGUUUCUUGUGGUAUGUUCUAUUCAUUCUAUGCUUGCAUAAAAUGCAUCUACAUCUGUUAAAAUGUAAAUCCUUCUGGCACAUUAUGUUGAUAUGACUGCAAAACAUUUACUCUGUUCUAUAUAUAACUACUAUUGGUAAUGAAUGAGUUAAAAUGUACUUUAAAUUAAAAAUAUUGUUUCAGCAUUUUUGUUUAAUCACUUAUAUCAUCAACUGUAAUUUCAUACUUAAAGAGUUCUCUUUUGUAAUGGAUUUAAUUAAUAUACGCUUGCACACAAAAAAGAUUCAGUGUAUAGUGCAAAUAGCUUGAUGUAAACAUUUACAUAAUGAUAUUAAAUACUUGAUUUGCAUUAACAACA
Long non-coding RNA from Carcharodon carcharias (great white shark), 823 nucleotides. RefSeq lists it as uncharacterized. The transcript has 2 exons. NCBI's taxonomy places the organism in Eukaryota, Metazoa, Chordata, Chondrichthyes, Lamniformes, Lamnidae. The record is from RefSeq and is a predicted model, not a curated record.